AAAUUGGAUGCCAUGUUCGAUUUCAAUUUCGAUGAAUCAGCAAUUAUAGAGAAUGAUUUAGGUAGCAUGAGUGAAAUAUGUAAAUUCUGUAAUGCUAAACAUUUUAAAUUUGAAAUAUUAUGUGAUAAGAAGUUUGCUAAUUGUUGCGAUAAAAGAAACGUUGUAUUAUCUGACAAUAUUACUUAUCAUUAACGUUUAAAAGAAUUAGUUUCUGGAAAUACUGACGAAAGUAAACACUUUUUAAAUCGCCUCGCAAUCACGAUGACAAACUAAUGUGUCAUUUUCUUUAAUGCUAUUAAAGGAAUUAGAUAAUUUUUUUCGACAAGUAUGAUGCACGAAGUCGAAAUGGAAGAACAAAAUCGUUUGAAAAACAACAACGUUGAGUUAAAUAGUAAAGAAAUUAUAAUGUAUUAAACACGCAAUUUUAAUCAUGAUAAACGUAGAUAUAACGCAGCUAAAUGUGAUAAAGUAGCUAUGGUAUUUGUAGGUGAACAUGGUCAACCACCAGAAGAUCGAGAUAUGGAUGCCCAAUACAAAAAAUAAAAAUAACAAAAACAAUAUUUCAAUGCUACAAUGUUAUUGUCAUAGCAUCAGAAACGAUUUUAAUCCUUACUUAAAUUUAGGAAAGUCAACUCAACAAUGCAUAGUUGAUGCUUGGGUAACAGUUAAAGGUUCACGAUUAUUUUUUUAAAAUAAAAAUCAACACCAAUUGAGGACAGAUUUAUAUAAAGGUGUCAUAAUAAUAACUUAGAAUGAUAACUUAAAAUAAAAGUAACGAUGAUAACGUAAAAAAUGGAAGAAAGGUUAUAUUACCUUCAACAUUUUCAGGAAGUCCACGAUCGUUACAACAAAACUUUUUAGAUUCAAUGACAAUAGUUUAAAAGUAUGGUAAACCAGAUCUUUUUAUUACUAUGACAUGUAAUCCAAAAUGGAAGGAAAUUAAACAAAAUUCGAGAAAAAAUGAAUGAGCUAUUGAUAGAUCUGAUUUAGUAGCAAAAGUUUUUAAUGCAAAAGGUAAUGAAUAAUUAAUGAAUAAUUAAAUUAUAAGCAGAAUGUACUUUGUAAAUCCGAAGGAUCGUGAAAGAUUGUUUUCAAGAUUAUUAUUACAUGUAAAAGGGACUCAAUCUUAUAAAGAAUUAAAAACAUUCGCAAAUGUUACAUAAGCAACAUUUCAUGAAGUAGUUGUAGCUAGAAAAUUAAUAACCACUAAUAAAAAAUGGGACAAAUGCUUGGAAUAAGCAA
Nasonia vitripennis (jewel wasp) is the source of this 1242-nucleotide long non-coding RNA. RefSeq lists it as uncharacterized. The record is from RefSeq and is a predicted model, not a curated record. The transcript is spliced from 2 exons. Lineage: Eukaryota; Metazoa; Arthropoda; Insecta; Hymenoptera; Pteromalidae.